RNAcentral lists this long non-coding RNA (300 nucleotides) under Homo sapiens (human). RNAcentral describes it as "HSALNT0232948". The record is from RNAcentral. Lineage: Eukaryota; Metazoa; Chordata; Mammalia; Primates; Hominidae.
GGGGAACAAAGUACUUUGGCCUCUCAAAUCCAUGUUUCUCCAUCCACCUGGCUCCCUGUGCAUCCAGCCGGUCGUAGAGAGGAGAGAAUGAAACAAGGUCCGAUGCACUAAAGAAAAUGUUACGUAUAUAUCAUGAGGAGCAUAAAGCCCCUUAACUCAGGCCUGAAACAGUCAAAUCAAAUGCCCAACUCAAAGCACUUGUUAAAGAACUGAGGAAAACUUUGCUCCUUCUGAAUGACAACACGGGCCACCGAGAAGAUACCUGCAACUAGGAGCAACUGCGAUAAAGCUUCACUUACG